Molecule: long non-coding RNA, 794 nt
Filed under: Homo sapiens (human)
Lineage: Eukaryota; Metazoa; Chordata; Mammalia; Primates; Hominidae
Description: HSALNT0048798
Source: RNAcentral
AAAUGUGGUAGCUUUUAAUUAACUGUAUCUUUUAAAUCCAUAAACACAGUAGGUUAUUUUUGUCACUCAGAACACAUUUUCUACUUGCUUUGAAAAUCAACAAAUUUAAUUCACAGAGGCAGAACCAGCAGUCGAACCACAGAAGGCUACAGCCUCAAGAGUUAAAUGGACCUCCAAAUCUAGGGGGAAAGUGAGGAAAAGGGUAGGAUAGAUGCUCAGGAAGGGACCACCUCUGUCGCUGCAGCAGUGAGAUACCCAGAAACCCAUACUCUGUGGAUGAAGAGAUUUUGCCACAAGGAGACUUUCCAAAAAUAAAUUGUUUUGUUGUGUGGCUGGAAGUAUUUUACCGGUGAGGUGGAGGUGGAGAUUUUUCCUUACUUUUCAUCAAGAAGAUAAUUUGUAAAUGUGGAAUUGUAUCACGUUAUGGAAAUAAGUUAAAAAACAAAAUCAGUCUAUCCCUGUGUGGUAAAGAAUUAACUUUACCGGAAGCCAGUGGGCUCUGUGGUGCCAUGCCCUUGGUGUGAGUCUUUCUUCUCCUGCAGUAAUUAAGUGGAGCAUCAGCUUUUGCUUGGUAUCCCAUCUUGUGUGUCUUGGGUCAAUGAUGUUUCUUCAACUGAUCUCUUUGGGAACUUGCAGGAGAGUGUCUCAUAAGGAAACUGGUGAUAGCACCGUACAAAUUAGCACACAAUAAGUGAAUAUCACCAUAAAGAAAAACACUAUUUCAAAAGCAUAUCAGAAACACAGCAAUCAAAGAGUUUUGGAAAUGAACAGCCAGUGGUCGCCAAGGCGUGGAA